Molecule: ribosomal RNA, 468 nt
Filed under: uncultured bacterium
Lineage: Bacteria
Description: partial 16S ribosomal RNA
Rfam family: Bacterial small subunit ribosomal RNA
Source: RNAcentral
GACGAACGCUGGCGGCGUGCUUAACACAUGCAAGUCGAACGGAAAGGCCCUGCUUUUGUGGGGUGCUCGUGUGGCGAACGGGUGAGUAACACGUGAGUAACCUGCCCUUGACUUUGGGAUAACUUUAGGAAACUGGGGCUAUUACCGGAUAGGAGCUCCUGCUGCAUGGUGGGGGUUGGAAAGUUUCGGCGGUUGGGGAUGGACUCGCGGCUUAUCAGCUUGUUGGUGUGGUAGUGACUUACCAAGGCUUUGACGGGUAGCCGGCCUGGGAGGGGUACCGGCCACAUUGGGACUGAGAUACGGCCCAGACUGCUACGGGAGGCAGCAGUGGGGAAUAUUGCACAAUGGGCGGAAGCCAGAUGCAGCAACGCCGCGUGCGUGAUGACGGCCUUCGGGUUGUAAACCGCUUUCGCCUGUGACGAAGCGUGAGUGACGGUAAUGGGUAAAGAAGCACCGGCUAACUACGUG